AACGUAGGUUCCGAGCGUUAUCCGGAUUUACUGGGCGUAAAGCGUGUUCAGGCGGCUGGACAAGUCGGGCAUGAAAUCUCUCGGCUCAACCGGGAGAGGCUGUCCGAAACUGUUCGGCUGGAGGGCAGUAGAGGGUGGUGGAAUUCCGGGUGUAGUGGUGAAAUGCGUAGAUAUCCGGAGGAACACCAGUGGCGAAAGCGGCCACCUGGACUGUACCUGACGCUCAAACACGAAAGCUAGGGGAGCGAACGGG
This 253-nucleotide ribosomal RNA is filed under the name uncultured bacterium. RNAcentral describes it as "partial 16S ribosomal RNA". It matches the Rfam family "Bacterial small subunit ribosomal RNA", at positions 524 to 776 of the family's 1533-position model. The record is from RNAcentral.